AAGUCGUAACAAGGUCUCCGUAGGUGAACCUGCGGAGGGAUCAUUAACACGUAUCCACGUAUCAAACCAAACCGCGCACUAGGAACAGAAGAAACCUCCCUGCGAGGAAGUAUGAUGUUCCAAUCUGACUUGGAAAAGAAAUGCUGUCAGUUAGCAUCGUGUAGUGGGUCCUUCGGGACGAUGCUCUUUGACUGGAGGGAAAAGCUCAAGGCAUAGUAUUUUCCAAGUAUAAAAAUUUUCUACCUCUACGGGAAGCCAACCUAUUUCACCCCCAUAUAACCACUUGACUGAUGACGCUCGUGCGGAGAAAUCCGAUUCGAGUUUUCGAUAUUCGAACUAAAGCACAACUCUUAGCAACGGAUAUCUUGGUUCCC
Molecule: unclassified non-coding RNA, 374 nt
Filed under: fungal sp.
Lineage: Eukaryota; Fungi
Description: partial internal transcribed spacer region
Rfam family: Eukaryotic small subunit ribosomal RNA (bases 1-46)
Source: RNAcentral